GGAAUCUUCCACAAUGGGCGAAAGCCUGAUGGAGCGACACCGCGUGAGGGACGAAGGUCCUAGGAUUGUAAACCUCUAAAAGGGGGACGAUAAUGACGGUACACCUUGAAAAGCAACGGCUAACUCCGUGCCAGCAGCCGCGGUAAUACGGAGGGGCCGAGCGUUAUCCGGAAUCACUGGGCGUAAAGGCCGCGUAGGCGGUUUUUUAAGUCCGAUGUUAAAGACCGAGGCUCAACCUCGACACGGCGUUGGAUACUGACAAGCUUGACGGCUGGAGAGGCGAGUGGAAUUACCAGUGUAGCGGUGGAAUGCGUAGAUACUGGUAGGAACACCCAUUGCGAAGGCAGCUCGCUGGACAGCACGUGACGCUGAGGCGCGAAAGUGUGGGGAGCAAAC
Molecule: ribosomal RNA, 396 nt
Filed under: uncultured bacterium
Lineage: Bacteria
Description: bacterial SSU rRNA
Rfam family: Bacterial small subunit ribosomal RNA
Source: RNAcentral